CUACACGACCGUACCGCAAACCGACACUGGUGCGCGAGAUGAGUAUUCUAAGGCGCUUGAGAGAACUCAGGAGAAGGAACUCGGCAAAUUGACACCGUAACUUCGGAAGAAGGUGUGCCUUUAGUAGGUGAACCUGUACAAGGGGAGCCCAAUGAGGUUGCAAAAAAUCGGUGGCUGCGACUGUUUAAUAAAAACACAGCACUCUGCAAACACGAAAGUGGACGUAUAGGGUGUGACGCCUGCCCGGUGCUGGAAGAUUAAAUGAUGGGGUGCAAGCUCUUGAUUGAAGUCCCAGUAAACGGCGGCCGUAACAAUAACGGUCCUAAGGUAGCGAAAUUCCUUGUCGGGUAAGUUCCGACCUGCACGAAUGGCGUAACGAUGGCCACACUGUCUCCUCCUGAGACUCAGCGAAGUUGAAAUGUUUGUGAUGAUGCAAUCUCCCCGCGGAAAGACGGAAAGACCCCAUGAACCUUUACUGUAGCUUUGUAUUGGACUUUGAACAGAUCUGUGUAGGAUAGGUGGGAGGCUUUGAAGUGUGGUCGCUAGAUCGCAUGGAGCCAACGUUGAAAUACCACCCUGGUGUGUUUGAGGUUCUAACCUAGGCCCGUAAUCCGGGUCGGGGACAGUGCAUGGUAGGCAGUUUGACUGGGGCGGUCUCCUCCCAAAGCGUAACGGAGGAGUUCGAAGGUACGCUAGGUACGGUCGGACAUCGUGCUAAUAGUGCAAUGGCAUAAGCGUGCUUAACUGCGAGACUGACAAGUCGAGCAGAUGCGAAAGCAGGACAUAGUGAUCCGGUGGUUCUGUAUGGAAGGGCCAUCGCUCAACGGAUAAAAGGUACUCUGGGGAUAACAGGCUGAUACCGCCCAAGAGUUCAUAUCGACGGCGGUGUUUGGCACCUCGAUGUCGGCUCAUCUCAUCCUGGGGCUGUAGCCGGUCCCAAGGGUAUGGCUGUUCGCCAUUUAAAGAGGUACGUGAGCUGGGUUUAAAACGUCGUGAGACAGUUUGGUCCCUAUCUUCCGUGGGCGCUGCAGAUUUGAGGAAGCCUGCUCCUAGUACGAGAGGACCGGAGUGGACACACCUCUGGUGUAUCGGUUGUCACGCCAGUGGCAUUGCCGAGUAGCUAUGUGUGGAAGAGAUAACCGCUGAAAGCAUCUAAGCGGGAAACUCGUUUCAAGAUGAGAUCUGCCGGGGCCUUGAGCCCCCUAAAGAGUCGUUCAAGACCAGGACGUUGAUAGGUCGGGUGUGGAAGCGCAGUAAUGCGUUAAGCUAACCGAUACUAAUUGCUCGUGCGGCUUGACCCG
Molecule: ribosomal RNA, 1301 nt
Filed under: metagenome
Description: bacterial LSU rRNA
Rfam family: Bacterial large subunit ribosomal RNA
Source: RNAcentral